UACGUAGGGUGCGAGCGUUGUCCGGAAUUAUUGGGCGUAAAGGGCUCGUAGGUGGCCAACUAAGUCAGACGUGAAAUCCCCAGGCUCAACUUGGGAACUGCGUCUGAUACUGGAUGGCUUGAAUUCGGGAGAGGGAUGCAGAAUUCCAGGUGUAGCGGUGAAAUGCGUAGAUAUCUGGAGGAAUACCAAUGGCGAAGGCAGCUCGCUGGGACGUGACUGACGCUGAGACGCGAAAGCGUGGGGAGCAAACAGG
RNAcentral lists this ribosomal RNA (253 nucleotides) under uncultured bacterium. RNAcentral describes it as "partial 16S ribosomal RNA". It matches the Rfam family "Bacterial small subunit ribosomal RNA", at positions 524 to 776 of the family's 1533-position model. The record is from RNAcentral.